UCCUGGUUAGCUCAGUUGGUAGAGCGCUCCACUGGAAAUGGAUAGGACCCCGGUUUAAUACCAGGGCCAGGCG
Molecule: transfer RNA, 73 nt
Filed under: Ixodes scapularis (black-legged tick)
Lineage: Eukaryota; Metazoa; Arthropoda; Arachnida; Ixodida; Ixodidae
Rfam family: tRNA
About the family: Transfer RNA (tRNA) molecules are approximately 80 nucleotides in length. Their secondary structure includes four short double-helical elements and three loops (D, anti-codon, and T loops).
Source: Rfam by way of RNAcentral